RNAcentral lists this ribosomal RNA (253 nucleotides) under uncultured bacterium. RNAcentral describes it as "partial 16S ribosomal RNA". It matches the Rfam family "Bacterial small subunit ribosomal RNA", at positions 524 to 776 of the family's 1533-position model. The record is from RNAcentral.
GACGGAGGAUGCAAGCGUUAUCCGGAAUGAUUGGGCGUAAAGCGUCCGCAGGUGGCAGUUCAAGUCUGCUGUCAAAGACCGGGGCUUAACUUCGGAAAGGCAGUGGAAACUGAACAGCUAGAGUAUGGUAGGGGCAGAGGGAAUUCCUGGUGUAGCGGUGAAAUGCGUAGAGAUCCGGAGGAAGACCGGUGGCGAAGGCGGUCUGCUGGGCAGUUUCUGACACUGAUGCGCGACAGCGUGGGGAGCAAACAGG